GGAAGGUUGGCAGAGUGGUAAUGCACCGGACUCGAAAUCCGGCGAACCGGCUAUACCGGCGCGCAGGUUCAAAUCCUGUACCUUCCU
This 87-nucleotide transfer RNA is filed under the name Enterococcus durans. RNAcentral describes it as "tRNA-Ser". It matches the Rfam family "tRNA". Rfam says of the family: Transfer RNA (tRNA) molecules are approximately 80 nucleotides in length. Lineage: Bacteria; Bacillati; Bacillota; Bacilli; Lactobacillales; Enterococcaceae. The record is from RNAcentral.